CAUGAGUGCUGGGAAUCAAACCCAGGUCCCCUGCAAGAAAAGUGCUCUUUACUUCUGAAUCAGCCACCUUCCCCACCUUUGGAAGUCAUUUAGAAUAAUUUUAUUGGUAUAUAUAAUAACCGCACAUACUUAUGAGGGUAAAAUGUAAUGUCUAUAAAGACAACACCAAUAAUUUUCUUUGUUUCAUAUGGUUGUAAGAGAUUGAAUUUAGGCCCUCAUUCAUGCUAACUAGGCAAGUGCUCUACCACUGAGCUACAGCCUC
RNAcentral lists this small RNA (262 nucleotides) under Cricetulus griseus (Chinese hamster). Its description in RNAcentral is "tRNA-Thr". Lineage: Eukaryota; Metazoa; Chordata; Mammalia; Rodentia; Cricetidae. The record is from RNAcentral.